This 33-nucleotide ribosomal RNA is filed under the name Heterodera ripae. RNAcentral describes it as "partial 28S ribosomal RNA". Lineage: Eukaryota; Metazoa; Nematoda; Chromadorea; Rhabditida; Heteroderidae. The record is from RNAcentral.
UUCGACCUGAACUCAGACGUGAGUACCCGCUGA